UACAGAGGUCUCAAGCGUUGUUCGGAUUCAUUGGGCGUAAAGGGUGCGUAGGCGGCGUCGUAAGUCAGGUGUGAAAUCUCGGGGCUUAACUCCGAAACUGCAUUUGAUACUGCGGUGCUUGAGGACUGGAGAGGAGGCUGGAAUUUACGGUGUAGCAGUGAAAUGCGUAGAGAUCGUAAGGAAGACCAGUGGCGAAGGCGGGUCUCUGGACAGUUCCUGACACUGAGGCACGAAGGCCAGGGGAGCAAACGGG
RNAcentral lists this ribosomal RNA (253 nucleotides) under uncultured bacterium. Its description in RNAcentral is "partial 16S ribosomal RNA". It matches the Rfam family "Bacterial small subunit ribosomal RNA", at positions 524 to 776 of the family's 1533-position model. The record is from RNAcentral.